RNAcentral lists this ribosomal RNA (422 nucleotides) under uncultured bacterium. RNAcentral's name for it is "bacterial SSU rRNA". It matches the Rfam family "Bacterial small subunit ribosomal RNA", at positions 355 to 774 of the family's 1533-position model. The record is from RNAcentral.
UGAGGAAUAUUGGACAAUGGGCGCAAGCCUGAUCCAGCCAUGCCGCGUGCAUGAAGAAGCAUCUAUGGUGUGUAACCUGCUUUUGUACGGGAAGAAACACUCCUUCGUGAAGGAGCUUGACGGAACCGUAAGAAUAAAGAUCGGCUAACUCCGUGCCAGCAGCCGCGGUAAUACGGAGGAUCCAAGCGUUAUCCGGAAUCAUUGGGUUUAAAGGGUCCGUAGGCGGUUUAGUAAGUCAGUGGUGAAAGCCCAUCGCUCAACGCUGGAACGGCCAUUGAUACUGCUAGACUUGAAUUAUUAGGAAGUAACUAGAAUAUGUAGUGUAGCGGUGAAAUGCUUAGAUAUUACAUGGAAUACCAAUUGCGAAGGCAGGUUACUACUAAUGGAUUGACGCUGAUGGACGAAAGCGUGGGGAGCAAACA